CUCUCUCGAUCUCUCUACACGGUGAGAAGAUACAAAUACUCAAAAUCCUACAAAAAACAAGAUCGAAGGAAUCUCAUUCAUCUUAUUCUUCUUCUUUAUUCUUCUUACGUUCUUUGUUUUUAUGCUUCUCAGAAUGAGAAAUUUUUCAUAUCAAUUAAGAAGAAAUCUAGGGUUUCAGUCGAAGAACGAGAAGAUUCGGAUGAGGUUUGAAUGGAUCUGAAAUUGAAGAUGGGUUUGAUUCAGAUGAGGUUUUCGGUUUUGUGGAUUGUGAAAUGAAGAUGAGGAUCUGUAUCUUAUCUUACAGGAAAGGAGAAGAGGUUGAUGCUGCUACUUUUAAACAGAUGAAAUUAGGAAUUAGGGUUCCUGCAUCUGUUGUUGCUGAUAAUUUGAGAGGGGUUUCGUGGAAUCAAAAUCUGUAGCUGUUAUAGUUGAAGAUCGAAGAUGGAGGUUCUAGUGUUUUCCACUGUUAAAGGAAGAACGGAUUGAUGAAGAAAUUGAGUUAAAAGAGAAAAGAAGAUGAGGUUGAAUUCAGAGGUUUGCGCUAAAGGGUUCUGCUGGAUUUGUUUUGAAUCUCAGGGUAUUUCUUUAAUUCAUUUGAUUAUUAUCUUUGUUUAUGUUUUUGGCCUUUUUGGUAAACCCUAGUCUAAUUUGUGAUCUUGGAUUUUGAAUUUAGGAGUCUGAUUUGGUUAUUUAAUACAAAAAGUGUUAAUGUAUUUGAAUUAUUAUGACAAUAGUUUUGGAAAUCGAAUUGGCAGAGCUGUUAAUGUAUGAAACACAGGUUCAUGACAGAAAAGAAGAUAGGUUAUGCUGUUGCGGUAGAGAUGGGAGCAAGCAGCUAGUUAUGGAUGAGUCUGAGCUGAAACAGAUGGUGGUGACCAUGGCAAGCUGCAAUGGACUGAAAUAGAUGUAUAUGUAGGAUGCAGUUGCAGGUAGAAUCUUGUGUGUUUUGGGAGCAGAAGCUGAUGUUGCUGGUAGAAUGAGAUGUUGAAGUACAGCUGAGAUGAAAUGAGUGGUUAUUGGUGGGUUGUUGAAAGCCUGAGAUGCUGCUGCUGCGAAGAAUAGAUUAAGGAAAUGGUCGCAGUCAUGAUGAAGCGGACUUGGAAUUUCAGGUGCAAGCUGGAAUGUGAUGGCAGUUGUGGUUGAUGCUGAAAUGAAGUGCAGGAAAUGGGUUGUGCGGGCUGAAGGGAAGGUGGCAGUAAUACUGGAGGGCUGCGAAUUGAUGUCGGACUUGAAUGUUACAGGGAAGAAAUGAUGUUGGUGUUGAUGCCGUUGCUGUUAAGGCACUCAGAUGCGAGCUGAUGCUGAUUGAUUCGUGUUUGCUAAUCAUGAUUUAUCUUUUCCUCCUGCUUACUUGAUGACCUUAAUCGAACCGCUAUAAAAAUUUGUUUACAGAAUUUAAUGUUUUUGUUUUCAGAAAUUGAUACUAGUGAUAGUGGAUUAAACACAUCAAAUAGGUGCUUCCAGAUUACAAUCUCUCCACAAUAAUCAGGAAGAAGACGGUGAGGAGACAUCUAAAGUUUUGCUGCCUUUAGUUUUUGCUCACACUGAAAAGUACCCAGAUGAGCCACCACUUCUGCACGUGAAAAGUUUAAAAGGAAUACCGUUAGAGCAUCUCCAGGCGUUAAAACAAAAGCUUGAGGAGGAGUAUGGGUUGGGCAUAAUGAACUUAAAGCGAGCGAUUAUGAAGAACGUGAUGAAGAAUUCUUGGCAACUAGUGUUUGGGAAGUAUCUGCGAGCUUUGAGUAAGUUACUAUGUAGUGUAUGAGCUGAACUUAUAAGUAAAAAUGAUUUGGAACUUUAUGUAUUCCCUUAGAGUCUGAUACUUCACAAAAUAUAAUUUGGUAUUUAGAGAAUUUGAGUUCUUUUUUGAUGUGAAUUGAUUGAACGUGAUGUUAUGAAUGUAUUGAUGGAAGAAACUAUUUUUGAGUGUGGACGAUGGAUAAUGUAAAGUGUAUGCAGUUGGAAUUCCGACGUACUUU
Molecule: RNA transcript, 1979 nt
Organism: Papaver somniferum (opium poppy)
Lineage: Eukaryota; Viridiplantae; Streptophyta; Magnoliopsida; Ranunculales; Papaveraceae
Exons: 5
Source: RefSeq, a predicted model, not a curated record